UCCCUGGUGGCUCAGACAGUAAAGAAUCUGCUUGCAGAGCAGGAGAUCCUGGGUUCGAUCCCUGGGCUGGGAA
This 73-nucleotide transfer RNA is filed under the name Bos taurus (domestic cattle). It matches the Rfam family "tRNA". From Rfam's summary of the family: Transfer RNA (tRNA) molecules are approximately 80 nucleotides in length. Their secondary structure includes four short double-helical elements and three loops (D, anti-codon, and T loops). Lineage: Eukaryota; Metazoa; Chordata; Mammalia; Artiodactyla; Bovidae. RNAcentral also lists the same sequence under 5 other names. The record is from Rfam by way of RNAcentral.